Long non-coding RNA from Equus caballus (horse), 6659 nucleotides. RefSeq lists it as uncharacterized. NCBI's taxonomy places the organism in Eukaryota, Metazoa, Chordata, Mammalia, Perissodactyla, Equidae. The record is from RefSeq and is a predicted model, not a curated record.
UUCUCUUUCUGCUAGUUUGUUAUUAGUGUUUAGAAAUGCAACUGAUGUUUGUAUGUGGAUUUUGUACCCUGCAACUAUACUGUAUUCAUUAAUUAUUUCUAAUAGUUUUUUCCUGGAUUCUGUAGAGUUUUCUAUAUUUGGAAUUAUGUCCAAAAAAUCUAAAAAUACUGAGUUAAACACUUUGUCAAAGAAGUGCUUGUUUUCUCAUUUCCUAAAGCGGAAGUUUAUGACAGAGAAAAAUAUGCCGUGUAGUAAAAGACAUUUCAGCUUUUUAUGAGCUGGCUUUUCACAUUCCUUGUUUGUCCUUUUAAUUUGUUUCUUGAUAUAUGAAGACUAUAAACUUGAAACUAAGAGUUAGCUAUCAGAUCUUGAUAAUAAUAUUAUAAUUGGAGAAACAUAAUAGAAAAAAUAGAUACUUUAUGAUAUUGUGAUAAUUCUGAUGAUCUGAAGACAAUGUCUUGGAAAGUUACAUUUACAUUUCAGGCUCUUGGAUGUCAAUUACUUACAAUAACAUUAAGAUAGUAUUAUUUUUAAUUGCUACAAAGUGGUAAGCUUUUUAUUUAAACAUCCAGCAAGGAGAAAGAAGGCAUUUUGUUAUUAUAAACACACACUUCCCAAAGUAAAUAGUCUUUCAAAAUAACAGGCAUGCCAAGUCUUAGUGAGUUUUGUUAAACCUCCUUAACUGUCUGCCGUGCCCCCGACUUCUUUCAAAUGGAUGUGCAUGGAUGUGGAAAACAAUCCAUUUAUUAUACAUGCCUCAUCUUUACCCUUUAGGAUCCUACCAAAUGUGUUUUACCUGGUACUGUUUAUUAAAGAUGGAAGCUGUCUUGAUUUAGAGACAAUUCAUGUAAGGUAGGUUAAGCAGUCAAAUAUUUCUUGAGGCUUAUGUUCAGCACCUCAGCCACCUACUGAGAAGUUAAUUAAUUCAGUCCAAAAUGAAAUUAUAGGGCAGUUUAGUGCUGUUUGUGUUAAAUGCCAUUGGAAUAUAAUCACCUGUGUUACCAUGAAUGAGGAACAACUGUAUUAGACAGAGGUGGAAUGCUGCACAGGAACAAGAAGAGAAGUGCUUUGGCAGGAAGAAUAUCUGUCCCUGUGGUCAGAAUUUAUCAAAACUCAUUGUCUUUUUAAAGAGUGAAUUAUUGAAUGGUAAGUAGACUUUAACUGAUGACCACUCAUAUUCUAGUAGUUUUCUUCAGUGUUCUAUUAGUCUUAAUCUAUAAUAUAGAUAGAGUUGACUUUUUUGCACUUACUUUUCAAAAACAUUACUAUUUUUAAACGUUUACCUGUAACUGCUUCAUUCUUAAUAAUAGUUAUGUGAAAAUGGUUUAUUCUGGAUCAUGCGUAUUCUUAGUUAACACUAGAAAAGAUGUUACUUUUGAAUUUAUUUUUUAUUUUUUUGUGAAGAAGAAUGGCCCUGAGCUAACCAUCUGUGCCAAGCUUCCUCUAUUUUGUCUGUGGGACACCGCCACAGUAUGGCUUCAUGAGCAUUGUGUAGGUCCUCACCUGGGAUCCAAACCCGGGGCUGCCAAAAGGAAGUGUGUGAACUUAACCACUACACCACCAGGCUGACCCACUUUUGAAUUUUUAAAACACAAGAUUUCGUUUGAAAAUAGGGUGUGUUACUUUCUAUGCUUGUAUAAUUGGCAUUGUUUGUAAUUUUUAUUUUUUAAUUAAAUGUGAGUCAAGCCUCUAGAUUGAAAAGUAUUAUGUAUGUAUUUUUUAAAGUACCAAAGAUUGGUAAAGGAGCCAAGGUCAUUUGAUAAAACUUCUGCACAUUAAAAGAACUAGUUCAUGAAGAACUUUUUUAGCUUUUUUCCUUAGGUACCCCCUCUGGGCAUUCUGAUAGAAGUAAACAGUGUUGUGAAAUCAGUUUAAUCAGGGAAAGACAUAACCAAGAACUGGUGUCAGUCAUUAUAAGACUAAUAUUUGAUAGCCUUGGUAUAACUAACAUUUAUUAAAAUGUUUGCAUGUAAUCCUUAUUACAGUGUACUCUUUUAAAAAUCCAUUCAUGUAAACUUAGUUUUACGUUUGAUACAGAAUUUCUCCAGAGCUUAAGUCGCUCUAAUAACAAAUUAGGGCCCUAGGAUACUCUGUUGCUGUUAGCUACAAGAAGACUCUUUAUUUUAAUGCACCUCCCUCACUACUUAAUUUUUUCCCAUGGAGCACCUCAGGGGAGGAGGAGAGAAAGAGGAAUCCUCGCUCAAUUAUAUUAUUUCAACAUUUUAUUCCUAAAUCUGGAGUGUGACCAGAAAUAUUUCACAUUUCUUUUCAAAAACACUUGCCUUUCUCUAAGGAGAGAAGCCUACUAAUCAAUGUGCGCAAAUAAACAAAGCACCUUAAGGUUCAAUUAACAAAAAAUAAACUAUUACAGAAAUGUUAACAAACAUUUUUAUUUGUUUAAAUAUAGGAAAAAAUACCAAUCCCAGCAUGUUUGAUAAUUAGAAAGCUAGGCAAAAUUAUUCUAAAUCUUACUGAAAAUUGUGUUUUCAAUUGCAACAGUUUGCUUUGAGAAAUAUGGUAAUCUCUUAAUGUAACUACUGAAGGAGAGAAAGAGUGAUAAGAUCUUGUAAAUAUAUAAUUAUGCUGUGUCAUAAACACAUUUCAAGAUAGCAAAAUAGAUUGUUUUGUUGCAAAUGGAUACUUUUUUGAGUGUGGUAUCAAGUUAUUUUUUAUGUUUGUUUACUCAAAAGAAAAUUUUUGUUUUUGUUUUUGCGAAUAGAUACAUUUUUGUUGAAUUUAGCCAUCUUAAUAAACAUAUAUUUUAACUUAAUUGGUUGUAGCUAUUUUAACUUUGUAUUGAAGAUGAGAAAAGGUAUUAAGAAGAGUUAGUCAUCUACGUACCUCAAGUAUUAAAACAUGUUUUAUAUAUAUAAAACUACAGAUACAUACAUACAUAUACAUAUAUGUACAUUUAAGUCUUCAAUCCAUAUAUUUUCAGUUAGUUGUAAAGGAUUCCUUUAAAAUGUGCUGCCAGUGCUUGCAGAGUGAAAGUCCAGGCCCCUUCCACAGCUCACAGGAAGCGUCACAGCCGCCUCCGACCUGCCACACCCUUCACGGCCCUUCACUCUCGUGGCUCUCAUGUUUUGGACAUUGCCUCAACAAUCUGUGUGGUUUCUGCUUGCUCAUCAUUUUCUUAUGCUAUCCUCUCUUUGCCUAGAAUAUUCCUUCCUCCCUCUCUUCUUCAUACAAUGUCCCCUCGACCCACAGUCAGCAAAUUUUAUUCAUUCUUCAGAAUGGUAGCACCUCUAAAUGGGCCCACACUUUGUGCCCUCCUCAGCCUCUCCACCUAGGUAGAGUUAUAUGCCUUCCUUUGUGCCUCAUAGAUCCCUCUAUUUAUAGCCUAAGCCUUUGUUCAUAUUUUUGUCUUCCUCUGUGUAUUAGUUUUGUGCAUUUGUCCCCUGUAUAACAAAUUACCAUAAACUUAUGAACUUAAAACGACACCAUUCCUCAUCUCAUGUUUCUUUAGCUCGGAAGUCUGGAUGAGCUCCAAUGGAUUCUCUGCUUAGGAUCCCACAAGGCUGAAAUCAAGGUGUCCGCCAUGCUGGUCUCUAAUCUGGAGGCUCUGGUAAAAAUCCGCUUCCAGGCCUAUUCAGGUUGUGGGCAGAAUUCAGUUCCUCAAGCUGUGUUUUGGCCAGGGGUCACUCUCAGCUCCUAGAGGCUGCUCUCCAGUCCUUGCACAUGGCUCCCUCAGUCUUCAGGAGACAGCAACAGCUCAUUAAAUCUGGCACAUCGAAUUUUCCAUGUGGAGGAUUUGAAUCUGGCUGACUUUUCCGUCCACUACCAACUGGAGAAAACUGCUUUUCAGGGCUCGUGUGAUUAGAUAUAGCCCAGCAAGAUAGUUUUCCUUUUGAUUAAUUCAAGGUCCACUGAUUAGUAACCUUAACUACAUCUGGAAAAAUCCCUUUUACAUAUAACAUACCCAUGGGCAUAACAUCAUAUCAUAGGGCAGGAAGCCUUGGGGUACUGUUUUAGAAUUCCGCCUACCACAAGUUAGACAAAUUGUUCAAGAGCAGGAGUAGGGAGCAUGUCUUAUUUGACCUUUUAACCCUGUCAGGAUGUAAUGAUAAUGAGGACUGAUUAUUGGUUAUUUAUUAUGUGUAAGUUGUUGUGCUAAGUACAUGAAUUAACUCAUUUAAUCCUUACAUAGCCCUCCUACUAACCCCACUAAACUGUAGAAGACCUGCCCUGGGUCACACUGCAUGUAGUUAAGAGUAUGAAUUCUGGAAUUAGACCUGGAUGAAAUUCUAGCUCUGCCAUGACCUAGUUGUGUGAUUUGGACUGAUUGUUUUUCUAAACCUCAUCUAAGUUUUUGGGGUGUUUUUUUUUUUAAUCUUUAAGAUAAAAAUAGUACUUACCUCAUAGGAUAGUUGUGAUUAUUAAAUAAGAUGACACAUGUAACAAGUAGCCCAGAGCCUGGCAUGUAAGUUCUUACAUUGUUUCUCUAGUGUGGCAUAUAGUAUGUAAGAAAUGUAGAAAGAGAAGGAGAAGAUAUAGCUGAGAUAUAUAUAUAUAUAUGAUGUGUAGAUAUACAGACAUACAUACAUGUAUCUUAAAAGAACUUAUAACCACUGCCCUGUUUUCAUUUUUUGCUUGAUGUAAACAUUUUAGACUUAUCAGUGAAUUUGAUACCUAAAAAUGUGUCCAAAUACUUAUUGUCCAUAUAUUAGAAUCCUAUAUUAAACACUUUUGGGGUUUAUAAAAUUAGAAGAAUACUUAUUCUUGAGAAGUUCACAUUCUGGUUGGUGGGAUCACCCAUAUUGGAGAAUGCUGAGAUGAAUUACUGCUUCAACUUGUCUCCCAUAUACCUAAGUAUAUCUGUAUAGAGACAUUUAAAACAAUCCCUACCUAUCAUCAGUGAACUUAAGAAAUUAGUUGAAAGAUAAAAUAACACAUGAAACAACAGUGGGCAGUAAACAAGUGUAGUCAGUGUAACACAAUUAAGCAUCUAACUUUAAGUGCUAUGACAGAGCAGUGAGGAGUGUGAGAACUUUUACAAAGCAAUUUUUCAACAAGUGCAAAAGGCCUUGUAUCUUUGUACUACUAAAAUAAUGAUCUAAACAGUGCAAAAUUAUAUACUAUGAAUAUCUUGGAUUGACGUCAGAAGGAGUCAUAAUAGGAAGAUUUUUCAAAUCCAGAAGAAUUAAGUAAAAUAGAAGUCAGCUUAUCCAGUAGUUUCCUGGAUGAGUUUAAUUUUACAGCAUCCAAAUCUAAGAGAGGUUAGUAGUCAUGGAAGUUGUGGAAAGGAAUGGAUUGGAUAGGGCAGUGAGCCUAUUGUUGAGGUAAGAAUCAACAAAACAUGUUGUAAAAUGAACAGGUGACGUGACUGAAGUAAACAUGGGCAAUAGGAGAAAGGUAGGAUAUGCUGGACCACGUGCAGGACCUUGAAUGCCAGUUCAAGAAAAUAAGAUGAGUUAAACUAAGAAGGAGUAGUUGGCAUCAGGACUAGAGUUGGCAGAGUUAAUGGGAAGAGCACUCACCUUAUGAGUUGAGGGAAUUGGAUUCUAGUCCUUGGUUUACCAUUAACUAGCCAUGUUGCCUUGGACAAGCUAUUUAUUCAUCUGUUCAACUUGCUUUUCCAUAAAACCACUGGAAUGGCUGUUGGUGUUUGUCGCAAGGUAAUCCAGAGAGCCCUAGGCUUCUGAGUUACUGCCUUUAGAGGUGGCAACCAGUGAGAGUGAUGCCAAGUGAGUGAGCCUCUGGUUCUCCUAAUUCAUUUAGAGCAGCUCCAGAUUGAUCUGUUCUAUGUUUUCACCCCUUAUAUUCUCACCCUUAUAUAUACUACCCAUAAGGUAGUAGUAUAACAAUCAUCAUUUUACAGAUGAGCAGUUUGAGGCACAGACCAUUAAGUAACUUGCCCAAGGUCUCAUGGUGAGUGAGACAGGAUUUGAACCUAAUCGGUCAUGAUCUGAAGUAAGUGCCCAAGCUCUUCAUUGUACUGAUAGUCUCUAAUAAAAAGACUCACUGAGAGUAAGUUUUGCCACACUAGCCUCCAAACUUGUUUUCCCAAGUGAUGUGGUCACUUGCUAUAUCCCUUUGUAAUAAGGCCCCAAGUGAAAUCCAUUUCAUUCACAAUUAUAUCCACCUAAACUAUUCUGGGCAUGAUGUCUGGCCCUGGGAGGCGUUUGGGAGGGGAGCUUUGAGUAUAUGUCAACCUGACUUUACUUCCAGGCUGUGGAAAGCAUUGUAAUAGAAAUAUGAAGGAGAAGAAAAGAUAAAUUCCAUCUGAACACAUCUGGGAGAACUGGAAGAAGUGCUAUUUGAGCCAGGACUUGAAGUGGAGCCUAAUUCCCCUCCCCUUGAAUAUGGACUUAGUGAUUCUCUCCUAAUGAAUAGAAUAUGGUGGAAGUGAUGCUGUAUGACUCGUGAGGCUAGGUCAUAAAAAGGAUAGCUUAUCCCUAAGCACUCUCUCGGAUCACUCAGUUUGAGGGAAGCCAGCAACUACACUCAAACAGUCCUGGAAGAGGCACAUGUGGAGAGGAGCUGAGACCACCCACCAGCCAGCACCAGCUUUUGAGGGAGCCACUUCGGAAGCAGUCCUCAAGCCCAGGCAUGACUGCGACGUGCUGAGAAAUUCCAAGCCAGAACCACCCAGCCAAGCGCCUCCUAAAUUCUUGACCUAUAGAAACGGAUAAUAAGAUAAUAAAUGUUUAUUGUUUUAA